This 492-nucleotide ribosomal RNA is filed under the name uncultured bacterium. RNAcentral's name for it is "partial 16S ribosomal RNA". It matches the Rfam family "Bacterial small subunit ribosomal RNA", at positions 30 to 507 of the family's 1533-position model. The record is from RNAcentral.
AUUGAACGCUGGCGGCAUGCUUUACACAUGCAAGUCGAACGGUAACAGGCCUUCGGGUGCUGACGAGUGGCGAACGGGUGAGUAAUGCAUCGGAACGUGCCCAGAGGUGGGGGAUAACGCAGCGAAAGCUGUGCUAAUACCGCAUGUGAUCUGAGGAUGAAAGCGGGGGACCAGGCAGCAAUGUUUGGCCUCGCGCCUUUGGAGCGGCCAAUGUCAGAUUAGGUAGUUGGUGGGGUAAAGGCCUACCAAGCCGACGAUCUGUAGCUGGUCUGAGAGGACGACCAGCCACACUGGGACUGAGACACGGCCCAGACUCCUACGGGAGGCAGCAGUGGGGAAUUUUGGACAAUGGGCGCAAGCCUGAUCCAGCAAUGCCGCGUGCGGGAAGAAGGCCUUCGGGUUGUAAACCGCUUUUGUACGGAACGAAAAGGCUCUGGCUAAUACCUGGGGCUGAUGACGGUACCGUAAGAAUAAGCACCGGCUAACUACGUG